RNAcentral lists this ribosomal RNA (230 nucleotides) under uncultured Alicycliphilus sp. RNAcentral describes it as "partial 16S ribosomal RNA". It matches the Rfam family "Bacterial small subunit ribosomal RNA", at positions 548 to 774 of the family's 1533-position model. The record is from RNAcentral. Lineage: Bacteria; Pseudomonadati; Pseudomonadota; Betaproteobacteria; Burkholderiales; Comamonadaceae.
AGAGAUGCAUUGGGUUUAAAGCGUGCGCAGGCGGUUUUGUAAGACAGAGGUGAAAUCCCCGGGCUCAACCUGGGAACUGCCUUUGUGACUGCAAGGCUGGAGUGCGGCAGAGGGGGAUGGAAUUCCGCAUGUAGCAGUGAAAUGCGUAGAUAUGCGGAGGAACACCGAUGGCGAAGGCAAUCCCCUGGGCCUGCACUGACGCUCAUGCACGAAAGCGUGGGGAGCAAACA